GACGAACGCUGGCGGUGUGCUUAACACAUGCAAGUCGAACGGUAAGGCCCUUUCGGGGGUACACGAGUGGCGAACGGGUGAGUAACACGUGAGUAACCUGCCCUCAUCUCUGGGAUAACAGUCGGAAACGGUUGCUAAUACUGGAUAUGAGCUUGCAAGGCAUCUUGUGGGUUGGAAAGAUUUUUUUUGGUUGGGGAUGGACUCGCGGCCUAUCAGCUUGUUGGUGAGGUAGUGGCUCACCAAGGCUUCGACGGGUAGCCGGCCUGAGAGGGCGACCGGCCACAUUGGGACUGAGAGACGGCCCAAAGUCCGACGGGAGGCAGCAGUGGGGAAUAUUGCACAAUGGACGGAAGUCUGAUGCAGCAACGCCGCGUGCGGGAUGACGGCCGUCGGGUUGUAAACAGCUUUCAAUUGUGACGAAGCUUUUUUGUGACGGUAGCAGUAGAAGAAGCACCGGCUAACUACGUG
Molecule: ribosomal RNA, 468 nt
Filed under: uncultured bacterium
Lineage: Bacteria
Description: partial 16S ribosomal RNA
Rfam family: Bacterial small subunit ribosomal RNA
Source: RNAcentral